Molecule: small RNA, 1296 nt
Filed under: Pan troglodytes (chimpanzee)
Lineage: Eukaryota; Metazoa; Chordata; Mammalia; Primates; Hominidae
Description: processed transcript
Source: RNAcentral
GCUUAGUAAACAAGUAAGAUGAAUGAAGAAGGCCAGGAGUAAAAAUAUAGAGAGAAGUGAAGACUGGAAAACUGGAGAACAUCUUUAUCUUAUUUGAAGUGGCCCGUAACCCUUCAGCUCUACUUCAUGGCAGGGACAUUUUAUUUUCUUCCAUAUAGACCUAAUAUUUUGCAAAUAAUUGCCUGCCAAUGGUUCUUCAAGUGUGAGACCAUCAGCAUCACCUUGCAAUGUGUUUGAAGUGCAAGUUCUUGGGCCCUACACCAGAACAACUGAUUCGGAAACACAGAAAUUCACCAAGCUGUGUUUUAACAAACACUUCAGGUCAUUCUGAUGCCCAAGAAGGGAAAUUUUUUGGGUUCAAAUUCCCUGGUCUGAGAGUUCUCACUUACAGAAAGCAGUCCUUACCACAAGAAGACCCUGAUGUGGUGGUCAUCGAUUCAUCUAAACACAGUGAUGAUUCAGUAGCCAUGAAGCAUUUUAAGUCUCCUACAAAAGAAAGCUGCAGCCCCUCUGAAGCAGAUGACACAAAAGCUUUGAUACAGCCCAGCAAAUGUUCUCCCUUGGUGAAUAUAUCCGGACCUCUUGACCAUUCCUCUCCCAAAAGGCAAUGGGACCGACUCUACCCUGACAUGCUGCAGUCAAGUUCCCAGCUGUCCCAUUCCAGAUCAAGGGAAAGCUUAUGUAGUAUACGGAGAGCAUCUUCGGUCCAUGAUAUAGAAGGAUUCGGCGUCCACCCCAAGAACAUAUUUAGAGACCGACAUGCCAGCGAAGGGCCUUUUAAUCAUAUCAAGUCAAGCCUCCUGGGAUCCACAUCAGAUUCAAACCUCAACAAAUACAGCACCAUUAACAAGAUUCCACAGCUCACUCUGAAUUUUUCAGAGGUCAAAACUGAGAAAAAGAAUUCAUCACCUCCUUCUUCAGAUAAAACCAUUAUUGCACCCAAGGUUAAAGAUCGAACACACAAUGUGACCGAGAAAGUGACCCAGGAUCUCUUUAUCCCUACAUCACGAGGGCCUUAGUAGAACACCUGGCAGAAUGGAGUUCAUCAAAUGUUUGCUGAAUAAAUGAGUGCAUAAAUGGAUGGAAGAGUUAGCCAAGGGAAGGGAUAAGAAUUCCAGGUAGAAAAAAACACAAGAACAAAGUUAUGAAAGCAGUAAAGUCCAUAUGACUUGUUAGAACAAGUGGUUUUCUGAGCUGGCGAGAGGCUAGUCUGGAAAAUUUACCUUCAAAAUAACACUUUUCUACCUUUUCACAUAAGUGCCAUGGGGGUUUGAGUAAAAUGCAACAGUUUCCAUC